Cyprinus carpio carpio is the source of this 4852-nucleotide long non-coding RNA. The record is from Ensembl. NCBI's taxonomy places the organism in Eukaryota, Metazoa, Chordata, Actinopteri, Cypriniformes, Cyprinidae.
AUUUUAUCAAUCCAAAACCCCAAGUAUUCAACUUCACUACAUAACUCUACAUGACACACUGUUUUUGUUGUUUUUGUGUGAAUGACACUUAAAAACCUCAUGCUUUUUUGAGGAUUGAUGUGCUAUUAUUUCUGAUCAGUGAUCAGACUUUUUCUUUUUUCGUUUUCGCCUGAUGUACAAUGAUUUAUAUAUUUAAUUAUUUAAUUUUUAAACAUUACAUUUGAGUGUAGGGAUGCAAGUCAUAUCUAGAGAUCUGAAUAUCUCAGACACUUGGGCCAGGACUCUUGGGCCAGUAAACAACCACCGGGAACACCCUAGCAACCACAUAGCAACACCCUAACUACCACUCACAACACCCAUGCAUUUUGCCUGCAAGUCAUGCGCAUCCAAAUACCACCCACGAUUUCUUCAGAAAAUGUAAAAACCUUGCUGUUUCAUGUAGUAGUCACUAAUCUAUUUCUCAGACAGAAACCAAAUAGUUUAAAGUGCAGUUUGAAACUGUUUGUAGAAUGUGACUCAUCUGAAGGCCAGAAUCACAGCUUCAUUUUUUCACAGUCACAUGAUCUUAUAAAAACCAUGAUUGCAUUUUUUUGAAAAAUCAGAUUGCGUCAUGUAUGAAGAGUUUGUCUGAAUUGUGUUUACACCCCAAAAAAGAUUUAUAUAUAGGCCUUUAUAUUUUUUGCAUUUUAUUACAAGUAUCUUAAUAUUCUGAUUCAACACAAAAUAUAUUUCUUUAUGUACGUAAUUAUGCAGGAAAUAUUAAACAUGAAUCUGGUAUUAGUAUCAGAAAUUGGUUCGAAUAUACAAUAAAUAUUACAAUACAAGCCUCUGUUACUAUAUCGCUCUGUACUGUUUUGACAUUCAAAGAUUACCAUGCAUCGUCUCGGAAAUAAAGCAUCACGUACCGUACGUGGUCAGCAUUAUUUCUCAGAAUUAUUUUUUCUGUCCUGAUUGAGCAACAUCUAUUUCAAACUCUUCAAGACCGUGUGAACUCAAUGGCGUUUUACAGUCGUUACAGUUUCCAUGGGAGUAAAUUGUUAUGCAUUUAUAUUUAAUUAAUUAUUAAUUUGACCAAUGUUUAAAUCAUGAACUGCUUCAAACUACAUGCUGUUUAUGAAAUCAUUAAUGAAACAUUUGCAGUUAGUCUACUGUACAAAUUAAAACAAUAAAACAACAUAAUUACAAACGGUGAAUACAGGGCGAAUUAAGGUACACAAAGCAUAAAUCUUCAUUCAGAUUUGCAAAUGAGCAGCUUGUCAUUUAUAAGAUAUAUGCUGAGGAUCUCGUUCGUCUGAUGUUCAUCAUGUUUAUCUGAUGUUCACUACUGUAAUGAAUAUGAUACUUACCUUUUUAAUACGCAGGGGAAAUUCCUGACAUUAAACAAAUAACCAAAUUUACAUGCAUAUGACGUUUGCGUUGUAAGAAUGUACAGAGAUACUUCAGAUAAAAAAAACGCUGACUCGUUAGGUUCUGUUUUCUCAUUAAAAUCAUACAAUUUCCUAUGAAUUCAGUAUAAUGUAUAGGAAUACUAGGGAAUACCAAUAUGGUGCCGGGGUGGCUUAUAACUUUUAUGACAUCAUGAGAAAUCCAGUUCUCUAUUAUAGAUCAGUCAUUGUUCCCCUUCAUUUUUAAACAUUUAAAAAAAUGGAUAUUUUGAACGUUCCAAGAACAUUCAGAAAUAACGUUUUCAGAACGUUAGCAAAAUUUAAUUAGAACAUAUUUUUUAUCAUCUAGGAUUUUCCUUCCCAAGUUAAUGUAUCUUGAUGUAAGAGUGUUUGUAAAGGAAAACAAAUCAAAAAUACUGCUUGAUAACAAAUUAAACCGAGGAUCUGCUCAAGUUGGAGAUCACUUAACAGAUGUUGCAGUCUUGUCAUGGGCUGGUUUCUGUCGGUUUACUUUAAUGCAAUUUCUCUCUCCCACACACACUCUCUGAUGUCUGUCAGGGGUCAGUAUGUGUCUCCUCGGAGCUCUGGCCCCUCACUGCCCUCCCAUGCAUGCAUUGACCAGUCAUCUGUGCAGUUAUGAGAGGCAUGUGGUGGAGAGGAAGCAGUGGUUUGUGAGUCAGCGCCUCAUGAAUCGUUCCGUUCCGUUGGCCUUUGGCUCUCUUUAGCUCUUUGAGUCAUCUAGAUCCCUGUGGUCCUUUGAGAUGGGUGUGUGUAUGAGGGGGAGGAAAGCUUGCGUUCCUCUGUUUCUGGUCCAUUUGUUCUUCCGUUGUAUUGUUCAGUGUCUUUAGUGCGACUGUCAAGAGAAGCAGUGAAUGGUCACUGCGAGGAGAGACUGUCGUCCAGCAGAAUGGCGUCAGACGUGGGCCGUAGCACUUGAGGUCAGCCACUCACUCAGCGCACAGUGUUUAUUCUGUCUUCAGGUCCUCCUGGGAAGUUCCUACUUAAGAGUUCGGAAGUCAUAAUUAUGAUGUGAAGUGAUUUGGCUUGAAAUAAUACGGAUGAGUUGAGCAUAUUUAUGUGUCUUUAACCCAGCUAACAGGGAAUGUUCACAGAACUUGGUUAGAAUGUUAAUACAGUGUUCAUUCAAAGUUCGUGAGAUACACACUUAUCUAAUGUGUGUCAUUAUUUUGGAAUGUUCAGAGAACAUUCGAAAGUAACGUUCCCAUAAUGUUUGCAAAAUUAUUAAAUUAAAUGUUUGCAUAACCAAAAAAAAGAAGGAAAAAAAAAACGUUUUUGAAACAUUUAGAUAUUUAGAAUGUUCACACUUUUGUCAGAAGUAAUAUUUUCAUAACUUAAUGCAUAGUAACGUUAAACAUUCUUAGAACAUUUUUGUUAGCUGGGAACCUUACAAUGCAUUUUUAGUCUAAAUGAAGAAGAAAUGAUGCACAUUAGGUGCAAUUUAAGAUGAAUUGUAAAAAAUAUAUAUUUUAUCAUUCUUGUGAAACCGCAUAUAAUGACUGAAAAUGUAUUUCACAAAAUGUUUACAAAUUAGUUUUACAUUAUAUCAACAUUCACACCCUUGGUUCCACAAGUAUUUUUCUCAUUCAUUAUCUGUUUAUAAUUCUAUUAUCCAUUAUCUAUUCUAAUCUUGAAAACAUUUGAGUUUUAAACUAUGAAGACCAACCAGCUGGAAGAUGAAUCACAAACUUUACAUCUUGCUCCUAAAAUGUAUGGAAAUCUGAGAAAAAGGCAAAAGUACAAGACGGUGUAGUUUAAUUUUUUUUGGAAAUAAUACUCUAUAAAAUAUUAUGUAGAACUCUUGAUGUGCAGUCAUUCCUUGUUUAUUAGAUAUUGUUUGUAUUAAAUAUAAUACAAAUAUCUUUGAAUAGUUAAUUUGAAUUUAUUUAAUUUUAAUUAGAUUUUUUUUUUUAUUAUUAUUAAUUGAAUUUGUUAUUUUAGAUUAAUUUACAUUUGUUUUGAUGGCAUCAGUCUCUUUCCUUAUCUCUUUUUGUAAAUUUGCUUUGAGAAAGUGGACUCUCAUUCCAUGAAAUCUGCCUUGAAAUCAUUAACUUACACAGAAGAACGUCUCAUGUAGAUGAUUAUAUGUUAUACGGAGCUCAUGUGGAUCUGUCUUGAAAGGUUUAUACAAUAAUGCUAUAACUCUAUUGAGAAGAUGAAUGGGAUUGUACUUCUGGAACCCAACUGUUGUGCUCUAUAGCCAUUAGCUUCUAAUGUGAUUUUAUCAUCGACACGAACCCUACACAAAAAGUCUCUUUAAUAAUUAACCAUCAUGGUGUAUAUGACUCUGACAUGACUUGAAGGCAGCAUGCUUUAUUUAUUUUCAAGCUAAGCUACUGUGGACUUGUAAAGACAAACAACUGAGCAGCACUGCCAAACUAGCUGAAGGAUUGUUAAAGAGCCGAUGCACAGCCAUGUAACAUGAACACUUAUCACUCACAAUAAAUGUUUCCCUGAAAAACACGAUCAGUUUGACAUUUGUCUUUUUCUGUGGUCAGACUUGUGACUGUUUAUUUUAACGGUGUGUUUGUGUUGAGCUGUCCUCCUACGAUCUGUCUGCCAGUCGCGAACAGAGUGGUUGAGUUGUGGUUUACAUGCAUUCCCAGAGUCUGUGUGUGAGGACACGUGUAACACGCUAAAAUGUCACUUACAUAUUAGAUACAAGCUUCAUGUUGUUGACAUAAAGACAACAUUUUGUGCCAUUGCAUUUCUGCUUGCGUUGAUUUUUGAAGGAUGCAUUUCCUGAGUGUGACUAAUAAUAGAUUUGUUUUUGUUUUUGUUAUUCGACUAGCAUGUUACCAGGAAGAAUAUGUUGUAUUAACCAGUAAAUCAUGGUGCAAUUAAUUCUAUCUAACUGUGCAGUGGCAUUUUUAGAUGUACAAAAAAAAAAAAAAAGGAAAAAAGGAAAAACAAAGUUUUGAUUUUUACAUAGAUCUUGAUUUAAGAUUGCAAUUUUUCAUAUCUGCAAAUUUCAUUUUGCAGAUGUGUUUGUGCAUGCAUUUUGCACAAUUUGGAUUAUGCAGAUGUCAAAUUUAGUCCACUCCCACUAUUAACACUAAUGGGUGUCGGUUAAAUCAAGCGGUUGAAUCAUGAGUUUGUCAUAAAUGCUAUAAGUCAGAUACAGGCUUAUGGGUUAAGGUCACCAAAAUAUUUGUGACUUUAGAGUGAGUCAUUGUUUGUUAAAAUAAGAACAGUCAUUGGUUCUUAAUCGGUGGUUAGUAAGGUGAUUAAAAAUAUUAUAUGUGUAGGUGAAGACACAAGUGUUUUACAGAAAGUGGGUUGAGGUUCAGAAUAAUAUUUGAAAAGUGGAUUUUUCAAAGAAUGUUUUCAAAACAAAAAACUUAUUUCUUUCCUUUGAAGGUUUUAGAUACUGUCUACUCAUUUAUAAGUUUUUUUUUUUUUUUGGAUUUUCAUUAAUUUUCUCUGCUUUGUGUUUCAGGCUUAAAUUA